This is a long non-coding RNA of Sardina pilchardus (European sardine), 464 nucleotides long. RefSeq lists it as uncharacterized. The record is from RefSeq and is a predicted model, not a curated record. NCBI's taxonomy places the organism in Eukaryota, Metazoa, Chordata, Actinopteri, Clupeiformes, Clupeidae. The transcript has 3 exons.
GAGGGAGUGGGCAUGACUGUAACUGCCAGUGACUGGCUGAUUUGUCAGGCUGCUCCGACGCGAUCCUGAUGCAGUCUUCGGUUCAGAGGGCUGAGCUAGAAAUAUCAGCAACGCCGCGUUGACCUAGCUCAGGAGGAGGCGGACAGUGUGCCCCACUGACCGUGCUGAAUGAUGCCUUGCUCCAGCAGCGCCCUGGACAGCUCCAGCCCCUGCCGACGGCUGGGCACCUCUCCGUUCUGGAGCAACCAGUCGAUGAACUGGCAGCCGGGGAAAGAGCGCUCAUACAUCACCUCUUUCUCCUCCCGCAGCUGGAGGAUGGAGUCCUUGCCGCCGAUGAGGCUGUAAAGAGGCACAGAAGUCAGAUGGACCUGUCAUCUAUUUUGAAAUUUCCUGUCAGAGAGAGAGAGAGAGAGAGUGAGAAGUACCCGGCUCAAGUCAUGUCAAGUCAAGCAACAUUCACUCAC